Heterocephalus glaber (naked mole-rat) is the source of this 1704-nucleotide long non-coding RNA. The record is from Ensembl. Lineage: Eukaryota; Metazoa; Chordata; Mammalia; Rodentia; Bathyergidae.
GUUCGUGUGACUCUGUGUGCGUGUUCAUGUGUGUGCACGUAUGUGUAUGCCUCCAAAGCCUUUCAUUUGCUUAUGUACCCCUGUUACGGUUUAGACCCCCAAAACUCUCAUGCUCAGGGGCAGGGCUUUUGGGAGGGGACUGGAUCCAGCCUCAGAGCUGACGUGCCGUCAGGAGGUGGGGCCUAGUUAGAGGGGUGUUGCUGGGGGCGUGGCCUGGAAGGGUUUCUCUCCUUUCCUGGCUCCUCCCUUCUCUCUGCUUCCGGCCGCCAUGAUGUGAGCAGCUUUCCUCCACUCAGACCCUUCAACCACGGUAUUUCUGCCUUGGAGCUGGCCAGCGGUGCAAGGACCGAGACUUCUAAAACUGGCUGGGAAUCAAAUCCAGAGCCUUCACUCUACUACAUCCUCAGCCUUAUUAAGUUUUCAUUUUGAGACCGGACCUUGCUAAGUCACUAAGUUGCCCAGGAUGGGCUGGAAUUUGUAAUCCUCUUGCUUCAGCUUCCAGAGUAUUGGGAUUACAGGUGCCAUAGCUGGGAUCAAAUGUAACAGAAACAAGGGUCCGAGUGCCAGGAGAGGAGAAGGAAGCUGCUCAGUUGGAGGCCUAAGGCCACUUGACCCCAGGACUCUCUCUCCUCCCUCUUGGUGCCUGCCGAGUGUCUGGUCCACAGCAAGCGUGCUCAGGGUGGCUGCUGAAUGAGGGACUGUUCCCGCCUCUCUACCUCAGACCUCUGUGAUGCAGGCUGUGUCUUCAACACCUGCCCCUGGCUGUGCUUUGCUUCUGGUCUCUGGAAGCAGAGAGGGAAACCGAAGUCCGCCAGGGCAGGUUGGUGUCCUUCAGGGCUGAGAGGCCACCGUGGGAAUCAAGGAAGAGGGGAUGUGGGAGAGACCUUAGCAGUUCUGGUGCUGGUCUUGCGAUGGAGAUCGACCUUCGGCUGUGGCUCAGGGCAAAGGUGACCCGGUUACUCUACUGCUUAAACUCCUCAGUGUGAUGAUAAUAACAGGAACUUAGGAGCUAUUGCUGUGUGCCUCCUUCUUUUACGGUGUGAAGGCCACCACUGAAAUGGAUGUGUGCCAACAAAAUUCACAUGCUGAAAUUCAGUCCCUGUGAGACGGUAUUAAUAGGUGGGACCUCCAAGGGGGUUUAGGUCACCUCCAUAAGGCAGAGCCCUCAGGCGUGGGAUCAGAAUCUGUGGAAGGGCUUGAGGGAGCCUGCCUGUCCCCUGUCCCCUGCCAAGUGGGGACUCGGUGAAAGGGUGCCGUCUGUGAGGCACAGACACUGAACCUGGUACCUGGACCUUGGACUUCUCGGCCAACGCUGGAGUUCUGGAGAGCAGUACUGGAGAACCGGAAGUACUUCUCAGUGCCGAGAGCAGCCCAGUCUGAGGUGUUUACUUCAGCCUGAACAGACCACACAGGGGACCCCUAAAGUCCCGCCCAGAGCCUCUGCCGUCAUUUGCUGUGAGACUCCCUGUUUCAGUGAUGAAGAAGAGUCUUGGAGGCCUGAAGGACUUGCCCACGGUUAUCUCACUUCAGAGUCGGGCUCCCCCGCUUCUCGGCGGCCUUAUUCCUCCCCGGGGUUGCACCGUCCCCCCUGUGUCCCUCGGCGCCCCCACGCAGAUUUAUUGCAGUCCUCGGGGGUCUGGUUUCCCGCACACGCCUCCUCCGAGCGCCAAUGCCCAGGUCCCAGCGGCCUCUCCGCCACCCAUC